ACUCCUACGGGAGGCAGCAGUCGAGAAUCUUCUGCAAUGGGGGCAACCCUGACAGAGCGACGCCGCGUGGAGGAUGAAGGCCCUCGGGUUGUAAACUCCUGUCACAUGUUAAGAAACGUACGGGUUCACUCGUACGCUGACGAAGGCAUGAGAGGAAGUCACGGCUAACUUCGUGCCAGCAGCCGCGGUAAGACGAAGGUGGCAAGCGUUAUUCGGAUUUACUGGGCAUAAAGCGCGCGUAGGCGGCUUGGCAAGUCGGGGGUGAAAGCCCGCAGCCCAACUGCGGAACUGCCUUCGAUACUGCCGGGCUUGAGGGCGGGAGGGGUGAUUGGAACUCCAA
Molecule: ribosomal RNA, 340 nt
Filed under: uncultured Planctomycetota bacterium
Lineage: Bacteria; Pseudomonadati; Planctomycetota
Description: bacterial SSU rRNA
Rfam family: Bacterial small subunit ribosomal RNA
Source: RNAcentral